CUAUACAUGACUCUGCGCAUAUCAAUAAGCGGAGGAAAAGAAACUAACUAAGGAUUCCCCUAGUAACGGCGAGUGAAGCGGGAAGAGCUCAAAUUUGAAAUCUUAAAGGGUUUCCCUUUACGAAUUGUAGUUUAAAGAAGUGUUUUCUGUUGAGGUUUUGGUAAAAGUUCUUUGGAAUAGGACAUCAUAGAGGGUGAGAAUCCCGUAUUUGACCUUUACUUUCAACUUUGUGAUACACUUUCAAAGAGUCGGAUUGUUUGGGAAUGCAGUCCAAAAUGGGUGGUAAAUUUCAUCUAAAGCUAAAUAUUGGCGAGAGACCGAUAGCGAACAAGUACCGUGAGGGAAAGAUGAAAAGAACUUUGAAAAGAGAGUUAAACAGUACGUGAAAUUGUCAAAAGGGAAGCGUUUGACACCAGUGUUGUUUUUCUGAAAAUCAAUUAAAGAACUGUUUAUGCUAAGUUGUUUAGACUUUAUCAGCUAACUGUUUAGUUUUGAGCUUUUCUUUAAUGCACUUUUCAGUUAACAAGUCAACAUCAAUUUCUUUUGCUGUAAAAAAGCUUGAGGAAGGUGGCUUGAGAUUCGUCUUAAGUGUUUAUAGCCUCUUGCCUAUGCAGUCGGAGAGAUUGAGGUCUGCAGCGUAGAUCCUUCGGGGCUAAAUGCAUUUGUGCUAAGUUAUAGCAUUUUAUAGACAACUUGUUGACUAUGAUUUGUCUUGUAGCUUACUCGCUUAUGUUAUUUUACCUACGCUUAGGAUGUUGACAGCAGUAUAGACUGU
RNAcentral lists this ribosomal RNA (775 nucleotides) under uncultured Neocallimastigales. RNAcentral's name for it is "partial large subunit ribosomal RNA". It matches the Rfam family "Eukaryotic large subunit ribosomal RNA", at positions 22 to 637 of the family's 3401-position model. The record is from RNAcentral. Lineage: Eukaryota; Fungi; Neocallimastigomycota; Neocallimastigomycetes; Neocallimastigales.